This 2559-nucleotide long non-coding RNA is filed under the name Callithrix jacchus (white-tufted-ear marmoset). RNAcentral describes it as "lncRNA (ENSCJAG00000080478.1)". Lineage: Eukaryota; Metazoa; Chordata; Mammalia; Primates; Cebidae. The record is from RNAcentral.
AUGGGUAAUAGCCAGGAGCAAGCAGAGAGAAGACAGCGCCAACAUCACACUCACAGGCCACUGUGCACACCCAGGAGCAAGCAGAGAGAAGACAGCGCCAACAUCACACUCACAGGCCACUGUGCACACCCAGGAGCAAGCAGAGAGAAGACAGCACCAACAUCACACACUCACAGGCCACUACUCACACCCAGGAGCAAGCAGAGGGAAGACAGCACCAACAUCACACACUCACAGGCCACCACUCACACCCAGGAGCAAGCAGAGGGAAGACAGCGCCAACAUCACACACUCACAGGCCCACCACACACACCCAGGAGCAAGCAGAGAGAAGACAGCGCCAACAUCACACACUCACAGGCCCACCACACACACCCAGGAGCAAGCAGAGGGAAGACAGCACCAACAUCACAUACUCACAGGCCCACCACACACACCCAGGAGCAAGCAGAGGGAAGACAGCACCAACAUCACAUACUCACAGGCCACCACUCACACCCAGGAGCAAGCAGAGGGAAGACAGCACCAACAUCACACACUCACAGGCCACCACUCACACCCCAGGAGCAAGCAGAGGAAGACAGCGCCAACAUCACACACUCACAGGCCCACCACACACACCCAGGAGCAAGCAGAGAGAAGACAGCGCCAACAUCACACACUCACAGGCCACCACACACACCCAGGAGCAAGCAGAGGGAAGACAGCACCAACAUCACACACUCACAGGCCACCACACACACCCAGGAGCAAGCAGAGGGAAGACAGCACCAACAUCACACACUCACAGGCCACCACUCACACCCAGGAGCAAGCAGAGGGAAGACAGCACCAACAUCACACACUCACAGGCCACCACUCACACCCAGGAGCAAGCAGAGGGAAGACAGCGCCAACAUCACACACUCACAGGCCCACCACACACACCCAGGAGCAAGCAGAGAGAAGACAGCACCAACAUCACACACUCACAGGCCACCGCUCACACCCAGGAGCAAGCAGAGAGAAGACAGCACCAACAUCACACUCACAGGCCACCGCUCACACCCAGGAGCAAGCAGAGAGAAGACAGUACCAACAUCACACACUCACAGGCCCCCGCUCACACCCAGGAGCAAGCAGAGAAGACAGCACCAACAUCACACACUCACAGGCCACCACUCACACCCAGGAGCAAGCAGAGAGAAGACAGCACCAACAUCACACUCACAGGCCACCGUGCACACCCAGGAGCAAGCAGAGAGAAGACAGCACCAACAUCACACUCACAGGCCACCGUGCACACCCAGGAGCAAGCAGAGAGAAGACAGCGCCAACAUCACACACUCACAGGCCACCGCUCACACCCAGGAGCAAGCAGAGAGAAGACAGCACCAACAUCACACUCACAGGCCACCGUGCACACCCAGGAGCAAGCAGAGAGAAGACAGCGCCAACAUCACACUCACAGGCCACCGUGCACACCCAGGAGCAAGCAGAGAGAAGACAGCACCAACAUCACACACUCACAGGCCCACCGUGCACACCCAGGAGCAAGCAGAGAGAAGACAGCACCAACAUCACACACUCACAGGCCACCGCUCACACCCAGGAGCAAGCAGAGAGAAGACAGCACCAACAUCACACACUCACAGGCCACCGUGCACACCCAGGAGCAAGCAGAGAGAAGACAGCACCAACAUCACACACUCACAGGCCACCGCUCACACCCAGGAGCAAGCAGAGAGAAAACAGCGCCAACAUCACACACUCACAGGCCACCACACACACCCAGGAGCAAGCAGAGAGAAGACAGCACCAACAUCACACUCACAGGCCCACCACACACACCCAGGAGCAAGCAGAGAGAAGACAGCACCAACAUCACACUCACAGGCCACCGUGCACACCCAGGAGCAAGCAGAGAGAAGACAGCGCCAACAUCACACACUCACAGGCCACCGCUCACACCCAGGAGCAAGCAGAGAGAAGACAGCACCAACAUCACACUCACAGGCCACCGUGCACACCCAGGAGCAAGCAGAGAGAAGACAGCACCAACAUCACACACUCACAGGCCACCGCUCACACCCAGGAGCAAGCAGAGAGAAGACAGCACCAACAUCACACACUCACAGGCCACCGCUCACACCCAGGAGCAAGCAGAGAGAAGACAGCGCCAACAUCACACACUCACAGGCCACCACACACACCCAGGAGCAAGCAGAGAGAAGACAGCACCAACAUCACACACUCACAGGCCACCGCUCACACCCAGGAGCAAGCAGAGAGAAGACAGCACCAACAUCACACUCACAGGCCACCGUGCACACCCAGGAGCAAGCAGAGAGAAGACAGCGCCAACAUCACACACUCACAGGCCACUGCUCACACCCAGGAGCAAGCAGAGGGAAGACGGCGCCAACAUCACACACUCACAGGCCACUGCUCACACCCAGGAGCAAGCAGAGGGAAGACGGCGCCAACAUCACACACUCACAGGCCACCGCUCAUCGGUUCCCAAGUUCAGCCCACGCAGGAAAUGCUUUAAAAGUACUCCAAUGUAAAACUUCAGUCUGA